This 73-nucleotide transfer RNA is filed under the name Callorhinchus milii (elephant shark). Its description in RNAcentral is "tRNA-Arg (TCT) (tRNA-Arg-TCT-6-1)". It matches the Rfam family "tRNA". From Rfam's summary of the family: Transfer RNA (tRNA) molecules are approximately 80 nucleotides in length. Their secondary structure includes four short double-helical elements and three loops (D, anti-codon, and T loops). The record is from RNAcentral. Lineage: Eukaryota; Metazoa; Chordata; Chondrichthyes; Chimaeriformes; Callorhinchidae.
GGCUCUGUAGCGCAAUGGAUAGCGCAUUGGACUUCUAAUUCAAAGGUUGUGGGUUCGAAUCCCACCAGAGUCA